GGAUGUGAGCAAUCUGGCUGCGACAUCUGUCACCCCGUUAAUCACCAGGGUUGAUUCCGCUGAUCCAGCUGGCUAGGCAGGUGUCCCUUUCCUCCCUCACUGCUCCAUAGGGGACCCUCCUGAAGCUGUGUGCUCGGUGCAAGAGGAUGACCUUCCCCCAUAGAGGAGGACCUUUCUUCGGUCAAGGGCAUACAAGCAGCUGCACUCCCCUGUAGAUCCUGCAAACCAGAACUCAAGGUCCCUCUGUAGGACAACGCAGGGCAUUCAAACUUCCAAGACUCCAGACACAUCCAAAGGAGGCAGCUCAUGUGGCAGGCUGCCUUU
This is an unclassified non-coding RNA of Ursus americanus (American black bear), 324 nucleotides long. Its record names the gene 7SK. It matches the Rfam family "7SK RNA". Rfam says of the family: 7SK was discovered as an abundant small nuclear RNA in the mid-70s but a possible function has only recently been suggested. NCBI's taxonomy places the organism in Eukaryota, Metazoa, Chordata, Mammalia, Carnivora, Ursidae. The record is from Ensembl.